AGCAGUAGCCGCGGGAAAACGGAGGGUGCAAGCGUUAUCCGGAAUGAUUGGGCGUAAAGGGCUCGCAGGCGGUUUCUUAAGUCUGAUGUGAGAGCCCCCGGCUCAACCGGGGAGGGUCAUUGGAAACUGGGAAACUUGAGUGCAGGAGAGGGAAGUGGAAUUCCCAGUGUAGCGGUGAAAUGCGUAGAUAUUGGGAGGAACACCAGUAGCGAAGGCGGCUUUCUGGACUGCAACUGACACUGAGGCACGAAAGCGUGGGUAGCAAACAGGAUUAGAUACCCCAGUAGUCCCUGUCUCUUAUAC
RNAcentral lists this ribosomal RNA (303 nucleotides) under uncultured bacterium. RNAcentral's name for it is "partial 16S ribosomal RNA". It matches the Rfam family "Bacterial small subunit ribosomal RNA", at positions 507 to 807 of the family's 1533-position model. The record is from RNAcentral.